RNAcentral lists this ribosomal RNA (253 nucleotides) under uncultured bacterium. RNAcentral describes it as "partial 16S ribosomal RNA". It matches the Rfam family "Bacterial small subunit ribosomal RNA", at positions 524 to 776 of the family's 1533-position model. The record is from RNAcentral.
UACGUAGGGUGCGAGCGUUGUUCGGAAUUACUGGGCGUAAAGCGCACGUAGGCGGCUUUGUAAGUUAGAGGUGAAAGCCCGGAGCUCAACUCCGGAAUUGCCUUUAAGACUGCAUCGCUUGAAUCCAGGAGAGGUGAGUGGAAUUCCGAGUGUAGAGGUGAAAUUCGUAGAUAUUCGGAAGAACACCAGUGGCGAAGGCGGCUCACUGGACUGGUAUUGACGCUGAGGUGCGAAAGCGUGGGGAGCAAACAGG